AGGGGUCAUUCCGUGAAAAUUGCGACCUAGGGAUGGCCAAGGAAGGGAGGGUCAAUCCGCUUCAACGAGAUCGGAGGCGAGGAAAAGCGUUCGGGAACAGGUAGAAGAAAGAGCCAAUUAUGUGUUCAGUCGAAUUUUAGGUCCAAAUUAACUCUCGUCGUAGCACGCACAGAUUAUAACCUUGUAAUAAUGAGAAUAGGCAUUAAGUGAGAGGAGGGCAAGAUCACCACCCCACCUAGCCGACGAGCCUCCCAGCCGGGAAUAUCUGCGUGCCCCCUUCUCUCACUCCCCGACACCUGCCAAGUUCGUUACAGUUAUAAGUAAUUAUUAAUUUCAUUAUUAUAAAGUUAGUGGCGCCCAACAAUGGGACCCAAAAUAAUUGGUAGAACCGCAUCUCGAUGUGGUCAACAAUAUCGCAGGAACACACAUCAAAAACACUUUCGAUUUUUCUGGCAAACUAGAUACUAUGUAGUGAGCUUGAGAAGAGAAGCAUAUACGUUUGUCCGCUUUUAUUCUCAAACUACGGUUGCUGCAGCAUCUGGGCCAGAAUAACGAGCUUCACAGUCAGCAAAAUUUUGCAAAUCAUUCGCAUAGGAGUUAUUGUUGAGAAGUUGCUAGCAGCGAUCGACAAGCCACGGCUGACGUCGUAGAGCUUAGUAGGCGAUUAAAUACCCUACAGUAAUGGAGUCCGUAGCCCAACUAGUUAGACGUUUGGAAAAGCAGGGAAGAAGUCUUUAGAUAAGUCUACCCUGACCACGGAUAACAAGUUUUGGCAAAGACCCAUCCACUUUCAGCAAUAGUAUGCGGCAGAGCUAGCCAUCAAACGCUUGGAAAGACAGAACAAUCUCUUUAUAAAGAGUUUGCCUGGCCACGGGUGAUGGAAAACCAGCAUACCUGUCCGCAGAAGCAAGAGUGCGAAGGAGAGUAAAGAAGACGAAACUGAUUAGCUUCGAUUUACUCGCACUUUAGCUUGCAGUCGUUGUUUUUGUCUUGCGGAUCGGCGCGCCAAAGCAACAAGACGUUUGGUUGUUGCGAGGGCUGAUUAGCACGGCACAAGUAGCGGGGAACUAAGCUAUGCUUGAAGGCAAAUAAAUGUUUUUGUAUUUCUUUAUA
Molecule: long non-coding RNA, 1113 nt
Organism: Drosophila miranda
Lineage: Eukaryota; Metazoa; Arthropoda; Insecta; Diptera; Drosophilidae
Exons: 2
Source: RefSeq, a predicted model, not a curated record